Molecule: long non-coding RNA, 1436 nt
Organism: Raphanus sativus (radish)
Lineage: Eukaryota; Viridiplantae; Streptophyta; Magnoliopsida; Brassicales; Brassicaceae
Exons: 3
Source: RefSeq, a predicted model, not a curated record
UCUCUCUUCUAAGAACAACCACGUCAGAUUAUUUUUAUGGUUGUGGGACCCGCGCGAUUUCCGGUUAAGCUGGUCGGAUGAUUGAUUUGUUUGAUUGUCGUCGGUUUGGUUUUAUUAAAAUCACAGCAGCAUCUCGGACUGGGCUCCUUUGUUCUGUUGGGUCUGGGCCUCUCUAUUUGUUGUGAUCCAAGGAAAACAUGUGUUUUGCUUAACUUCGUUCAAGUCGCCACCUUCGUUCUCUUUGUCUUCCUCGACGAACCUGUUCAUCCCUUCGCCUUUUCUCAAGCUUUAAUCUGUUCUUAAAUUCGAGAAUAAAUGUUGUGUUAAUUACACAAAACUCUGAAACGUCUUUUCCUCUGUUGAUAGUUGUCAUUAAACCCAGUGACGAUGUUGUCUCUUCCGUUUCCUUCACUUGAAAUCAUAUAUAUCAGGGGGUUGAAAUCACGAUUGAUCCUCAGAACCACGCAAUCAGCCUUUGACGCCUCAGUUGAUCUGCCCAGUUCAUUGUUGGUCGUCUGCUCCGUUUUCUGGGACUCGAAAAACAUCUAGAAGCAUGGGCUUCUGUAAUGGUCAGCAACGGGAAAACAGAUAAAGAUGUUUCUGCCGAUUCAACGACUUCUGUUCUCAAUGAAGAGAAGGGAAACUGUGAGGAGACUUUUCUAGAGAAAGAGAUACUUUUAGCCAAUAAAGAGAUACUGAGGCUAUGGCUCAGGAAGAAGAGCAGCUGCUCAAACUUCGGGAAGAUGAGGAGAAAGCCAAAUGUGCUGCAUCCGGUGAAGCUCCUGAUAUGAAUGAUACCCAGUUUACUAAACUGGAUGAGCUCUUGACUCAGACCCAGCUCUUUCUUCUUGAGAAAAUGGAGGAUAUCACAAAAGUAAAUCUUCUUUUUGCCUUUUAGUUUGGUUGGUUAAAGAAGGUGAUUUUUCUUAAUUGAGUUAGUGUGCUUGGGUUUUAAGAAAGCUUCAAGAAUGAAGAAAAGAUUGCUACUUUGGAUUGUGGGCAGGAGUAUCAUGCUCAACGAUUGGAGAAGGACUGAUUGUGAAGAACAUUUACCUAUCUGUAAAUCAGAAGCAUUGGCCAUGAAGAAGAUAAACGUAUAGUAUGAAGAAGAAUGACUUCUUUUAAUCUAAUGGGGUUUUUUUAGCAAAUUUAAUGGGUUUAUUUAUAUAUUUUUAUAUAAAAAGUAAACUUACUUUAAGAGUAGAAAACAGAGUUUUGUUUUCAGCUCCAAAAGGAUUCUGUAAAUUUGUACAUUAUUUUUGUUUGUGCACAUAACAAUGUAUGAAUGGUCAAAAACUUUCUUCUUAUUUGGUUUCUUGGCUAAGUGAACACACAGGAAGCUUUAUAUUAUUUACUAUGUCUCUUCCACUUGCUGCAGCAACAAACUAAACAGGUAAUCACAGUGUCACCGUUGUUGUAAAGUAAGAAGGGAUAAA